AGUAACGGCGGAGUGAAGCGGCAACAGCUCAAAUUUGAAAUCUGGCUCUUUUAGAGUCCGAGUUGUAAUUUGCAGAGGGCGCUUUGGCGUUGGCAGCGGUCCAAGUUCUUUGGAACAGGACGUCACAGAGGGUGAGAAUCCCGU
This 144-nucleotide ribosomal RNA is filed under the name Phaeosphaeriaceae sp. RNAcentral's name for it is "partial large subunit ribosomal RNA". It matches the Rfam family "Eukaryotic large subunit ribosomal RNA", at positions 82 to 224 of the family's 3401-position model. Lineage: Eukaryota; Fungi; Ascomycota; Dothideomycetes; Pleosporales; Phaeosphaeriaceae. The record is from RNAcentral.